AAGAGCCGGGUGCGGGAAAGCCGCUCGCACGGAUCUGUGAGGCCAAAUGGCCGACCUACCCGUCCACGAUCCAGUUCCCGUGCGUGACUCUAAA
Molecule: unclassified non-coding RNA, 94 nt
Filed under: Bradyrhizobium shewense
Lineage: Bacteria; Pseudomonadati; Pseudomonadota; Alphaproteobacteria; Hyphomicrobiales; Nitrobacteraceae
Source: RNAcentral